Molecule: microRNA precursor, 94 nt
Filed under: Canis lupus familiaris (dog)
Lineage: Eukaryota; Metazoa; Chordata; Mammalia; Carnivora; Canidae
Also listed under: 1 other name
Description: mir-8799 microRNA precursor family
Rfam family: mir-8799 microRNA precursor family
Source: Rfam by way of RNAcentral
GGGGGGAGCGCCAGAUCUUGGGCUGUGUCCCCGGCGCCCUGGGCUCCGGGGCUUGCGCUGCUAGAAUCACGCUCCCAGGGCCGCGCAGCUCCCC